AUGCUUUGCUGCCAUAUAUUGAAGGUUUUCAACCAUCUUGGGGUCGAUGAAAUCCCAACGCAGUACAUCAUUAGAAGAUGGACAACUAUGGCAAUCCCCUAUGCACCCCCUGCUAUUAAGGAUCGGCCUGACAAGAUGCUGGCACAAUCGAAGAAAGAACUCCGGCAUGCAAAUUUGAUGAUGGAUUUUGGUAGUCUUGCUAGGGUUGCUAGUGUGUCAGAUGCUGUGACGGAUAUUAUAAAGAUGUAUGUGCGUGGAGCACGUCACGAAAUAAACAAUCUCAGCAUGUCAAGGAAGAAUAAAAUAGCAGCACCUCCUAGUGGGCCCACUGGUGGUCCUCCGCCAUCAGCUGGUAGUCAUGUGCCACCAAUGAGAAAUGCUUUGGCGAGUAGUGGCAAUGCACUGCCACCUGCUGCGCAAGCCCCUGCUAGUGCUAGGCAGCGUCAAACUACUUCUGCCCCACAGCCAAAAAAUGUAGCAUCACUAACUACAAACUCUAUGGGACAGGGUGUGUGUGCAGCAGUUGGGGGUGCGCCACUGCACAACGGGUAUGCAGUGCCAAGCUCGUGCACUGCACAGCAUCGUCGGGAUAUGUCCCUCAAAGUAGGGGGUCUGCCCACAACCCGGGGGGCCUGCACCACAACUGUUGGGAACUCCGACACUAAGCAGUGGGCCUGGGAAAAUACUGAGGGGGGCUCCACAACAACUGUUCGGACCUGCAACACUAACUAG
RNAcentral lists this ribosomal RNA (732 nucleotides) under Triticum aestivum (bread wheat). RNAcentral's name for it is "partial small subunit ribosomal RNA". The record is from RNAcentral. Lineage: Eukaryota; Viridiplantae; Streptophyta; Magnoliopsida; Poales; Poaceae.